AGCAGCCGCGGUAAUUCCAGCUCCAAUAGCGUAUAUUAAAGUUGUUGCAGUUAAAAAGCUCGUAGUUGAAUUUCGGGAUUGGCGCAUCGGUCGUGCCUCACGGGGUAUGAACUGGUGCAGUCAAUUUCUCACCUUCUGGAGAACCGCGAUGUCCUUAAUUGGAUGCCGCGGGGAACCAGGACCUUUACUUUGAAAAAAUUAGAGUGUUUAAAGCAGGCAUUUUUGCUUGAAUACAUUAGCAUGGAAUAAUAAAAUAGGACGGCAUGGUUCUAUUUUGUUGGUUUCUAGGACCACCGUAAUGAUUAAUAGGGAUAGUUGGGGGCAUUAGUAUUCAAUUGUCAGAGGUGAAAUUCUUGGAUUUAUUGAAGACUAACUACUGCGAAAGCAUUUGCCAAGGAUGUUUUCAUUAAUCAAGAACGAAAGUUAGGGGAUCGAAGACGAUCAGAUACCGUCGUAGUCUUAACCAUAAACUAUGCCGACUAGGAAUCAGACGAUGUUAAUUUUUUAAUGACUCGUUUGG
This 520-nucleotide non-coding RNA is filed under the name uncultured Glomus. Its description in RNAcentral is "SSU rRNA". It matches the Rfam family "Eukaryotic small subunit ribosomal RNA", at positions 569 to 1083 of the family's 1831-position model. RNAcentral also lists the same sequence under 3 other names. The record is from RNAcentral. Lineage: Eukaryota; Fungi; Glomeromycota; Glomeromycetes; Glomerales; Glomeraceae.